UACGGAGGGGGCUAGCGUUGUUCGGAAUUACUGGGCGUAAAGCGCACGUAGGCGGCUUUGUAAGUUAGAGGUGAAAGCCCAGGGCUUAACCCUGGAAUUGCCUUUAAGACUGCAUCGCUAGAAUCGUGGAGAGGUGAGUGGAAUUCCGAGUGUAGAGGUGAAAUUCGUAGAUAUUCGGAAGAACACCAGUGGCGAAGGCGGCUCACUGGCCCGGUACUGACGCUGAGAUACGAAAGCGUGGGGAGCAAACAGG
RNAcentral lists this ribosomal RNA (253 nucleotides) under uncultured bacterium. RNAcentral describes it as "partial 16S ribosomal RNA". It matches the Rfam family "Bacterial small subunit ribosomal RNA", at positions 524 to 776 of the family's 1533-position model. The record is from RNAcentral.